ACUUUCGACUUUAGCAAUUAAGAUGGAGAAGAUUGAAGGAUUAAGAGCUGCAACAACUACACAUCUCAUAUAAAAAAUCAGAAAAUUAGAAUAGAUGAAAACCAAUUGGUGAACCAAAAACAAAACCAAAAUGAGAAAGAGAGAUUCAUACCAUUCACAUCAAACCCAUCAAAUCUAAAUGCUUUCUUCAUUGGUGCUCUGGAGAAAGAGCAUAUAUAAUCAAAGAAAUUCCAUUAGGAUCCAAAAAUUAGAGAUAGUAAACAGAUCAUACCUAAAAUGCUUUCUUCAUUGAACCAAAAAGAGCCGAAAUUGAAGCAAAAAUUCCAUCAGGAACCAAAAAUUAGAGACAAACAGAGAGAGAUUUGUACCACUGACAUCUUGAUGCUCAGCAAAAAGACGAUUCAUUUAAGCAAAAAAUUUGAAAGGAACUGCUGUCACUAGCUGACCCAUGAAUUUUUUAGGGGAGGUGCAAUUUUGAAAGAGUAAAAGCCUUUAUAAAAAUAAAUUAAAUAUAAACAAAUCAUAAUUGAUCAUAUCACGAGUCGUGCGUUGUAGAGCCUCUUCUUCAUCGAGUUUGCUACUGAAUACUUAUCAUGAGAGCCAAAUUAGAAA
RNAcentral lists this long non-coding RNA (612 nucleotides) under Prunus persica (peach). Its description in RNAcentral is "long non-coding RNA (PPER_LNC001800)". Lineage: Eukaryota; Viridiplantae; Streptophyta; Magnoliopsida; Rosales; Rosaceae. The record is from RNAcentral.